GCGGGGAUAGCUCAGUUGGGAGAGCGUCAGACUGAAGCCACAACUUCAUUCCGUAUCUUGGUCUAGCCUUGAUUAUCUGAAGGUCGUGUGUUCGAUCCACACUCACCGCA
Xylaria bambusicola is the source of this 110-nucleotide non-coding RNA. Lineage: Eukaryota; Fungi; Ascomycota; Sordariomycetes; Xylariales; Xylariaceae. The record is from the annotation of a RefSeq genome assembly.